AUACGAAGGUGGCUAGCGUUGUUCGGAAUUACUGGGCGUAAAGCGCGCGUAGGCGGAUUGGUCAGUUAGGGGUGAAAUCCCAGGGCUUAACCCUGGAACUGCCUCUAAUACUGCCAGUCUUGAGUUCGGGAGAGGUGAGUGGAAUUCCUAGUGUAGAGGUGAAAUUCGUAGAUAUUAGGAAGAACACCAGUGGCGAAGGCGGCUCACUGGCCCGAUACUGACGCUGAGGCGCGAAAGCGUGGGGAGCAAACAGGAUUAGAUACCCUUGUAGUCC
This 274-nucleotide ribosomal RNA is filed under the name uncultured bacterium. RNAcentral's name for it is "partial 16S ribosomal RNA". It matches the Rfam family "Bacterial small subunit ribosomal RNA", at positions 523 to 796 of the family's 1533-position model. The record is from RNAcentral.